UUAGUAUGUAUUAAUCAUAUAUAUGUAUUAAUCAUAUUUCUAUGAAAAUAUGCAGUAUGUUUUUUUUUUUUUUUUUUUGAUAACCGUAGUGUAAUCCCAAAGGCUUUCUAGAUCCAAGGACUAAUCACUACGAGGCCCGCAGGAUCCGCGUUUUCUUACCACUUAAGGCGCCCCGGGUGGCCAAGGAGAAUCGAACCCAGGGCGGUACUCACAGCUGUGAGCCCUUUACCACUAGGCCAAGACCACUUGGUUAAUUACAACUAUAGGUUUAUAUUUAUGUGUACCAACACGAAUAUGUAUUAUAUAUGACUAAAUGAUUGCUAAGUCUACCAACCAUUUGGAAAUUUUUCUAAAAGACUUCGUUAAACAAAGAGACAAACUGCUAAACUUAAAUCAACUAUGCAAUUAAAAAUCGAAAAUGGGUUCCCAUUUUGUCAUAUACUUUGCCAAAAUGAAAGGUCUGUUAUUAUUAUCAAGUUCUUUAUAUUCUUCUUCAUUAGGUUGUGUGGUGUCACUAAGUUAAGAUUAUCAAAGAGGAAUCUUUUUCUCAGAAGGCAUAUCUGUUUUUUUUUCUUUUUUUUGUAAGUGUGAGUAAAGCUUGAUUCUUUUUCGGUUUGUCAACACAUAAGGAGUUUUGCUACUGCUACUAAUGACGAUGCUGGUGAUGGUACGAUCACUCCAGUGCUCUUAAAACAAGUGUCUAUGUGCUGUUGUUGUUCUUGUUUCAUAUUUAUGUUUCAUAUUCUGUUUUAGUGGUUUAGGUGUGUGUUGUUGUUGCUCUUGUCCUGUUGUAGUUGUUUAAGUGAUGAAAAGCUUGUGACUUUUGGUUUCUCUUGUCAAAGCUGCUCCACAGACCAAACCUAUGGAUUCUCCACAGCUCUUGUCAAAAUUUAUUAUUCGUCGUUGUUCUAGUUUUGGAGAAUUGAGUUUAUAUUUUUGUUCCUGCAGGUCAUUUAUUGGAUUAAGCUACCAGGACCUGCA
RNAcentral lists this long non-coding RNA (981 nucleotides) under Brassica napus (rape). RNAcentral's name for it is "long non-coding RNA (BNAP_LNC014317)". Lineage: Eukaryota; Viridiplantae; Streptophyta; Magnoliopsida; Brassicales; Brassicaceae. The record is from RNAcentral.